UACGGAGGGUGCGAGCGUUGUCCGGAAUCACUGGGCGUAAAGGGCGCGUAGGUGGCGCGGAAAGUCAACGGUGAAAGUUCGGGGCUCAACCCUGAAUCGGCCGUCGAUACUGCUGCGCUUGAGCACUGUAGAGGCAGAUGGAAUUCCGGGUGUAGCGGUGGAAUGCGUAGAGAUCCGGAAGAACACCGGUGGCGAAGGCGGCCUGCUGGGCAGUAGCUGACACUGAGGCGCGACAGCGUGGGGAGCAAACAGG
Molecule: ribosomal RNA, 253 nt
Filed under: uncultured bacterium
Lineage: Bacteria
Description: partial 16S ribosomal RNA
Rfam family: Bacterial small subunit ribosomal RNA
Source: RNAcentral